This 564-nucleotide long non-coding RNA is filed under the name Homo sapiens (human). RNAcentral describes it as "non-protein coding lnc-DCAF5-4:1". Lineage: Eukaryota; Metazoa; Chordata; Mammalia; Primates; Hominidae. The record is from RNAcentral.
CCAACGAUUACAUGCAGCCAGAAGAGGACUGGGACCGGGACCUGCUCCUGGACCCGGCCUGGGAGAAGCAGCAGAGAAAGAGCUGACCUCUCACCUUUCUGCGAGAGACGGCCAGGCCAUCUGGACAGGUCACAGACCAGAUUCUCAAGUCCACACCUCUCUACAGAUAUUGUUGGGAUCAUCCCAGCCAGUUAACCCCACCUGAGCUGCCUCCAUGUGUAACCCACCUGUGGUUUUCCUGGACUUGGUAUGGAGCCAAAGGGUACCUUCCCCACUGGCCCUGCUUUUAUGCCCUCUUUAGAGUGCAUAGAGAGAUGUUGGUAGGCCCAUGUCUCUGCUAGAGGGGCCUGUGGGUUGGGCUGAGUUACUCGCCAUGGACAGUGGUGGGGUCCUGGAACCCACCAGCUGAGAUGGUUUGGGCGGUUCUAGUCUGCACCUCCCCAGAGAGGUCAUGGCAGAGAGGCCAGGCACAGAGGAAACCCGCUGAGCCUGCUUCCUUAGUUCUGGCAGAUGGGUCAGCCCCCACAGGACUCAGGAUUCAAUUUAGCCCGGGGUUCUGGCUCC